CCUGGUGAUAAUGGCGGAGGGGUCACACCUGUAUCCAUUCCGAACACAGAAGUUAAGUCCUCCAGCGCCGAUGGUACUGCAUAUUCUUUUUGUGGGAGAGUAGGUCAUUGCCGGGA
RNAcentral lists this ribosomal RNA (116 nucleotides) under Lachnospiraceae bacterium. Lineage: Bacteria; Bacillati; Bacillota; Clostridia; Lachnospirales; Lachnospiraceae. RNAcentral also lists the same sequence under 2 other names. The record is from RNAcentral.